UACGUAGGGUGCGAGCGUUGUCCGGAAUUACUGGGCGUAAAGAGCUCGUAGGUGGUUUGUUGCGUCCGCUGUGAAAACUCGGGGCUUAACCCCGAGCCUGCAGUGGAUACGGGCAGACUAGAGGUAGGUAGGGGAGAAUGGAAUUCCCGGUGUAGCGGUGAAAUGCGCAGAUAUCGGGAGGAACACCGGUGGCGAAGGCGGUGCUCUGGGCCUUACCUGACGCUGAGGAGCGAAAGCGUGGGGAGCGAACAGG
Molecule: ribosomal RNA, 253 nt
Filed under: uncultured bacterium
Lineage: Bacteria
Description: partial 16S ribosomal RNA
Rfam family: Bacterial small subunit ribosomal RNA
Source: RNAcentral